GAAAUGCGAUAAGUAAUGUGAAUUGCAGAAUUCAGUGAAUCAUCGAAUCUUUGAACGCACAUUGCGCCCACCAGUAUUCUGGCGGGCAUGCCUGUUCGAGCGUCAUUACAACCCUCAGGCCCCCGGGCCUGGCGUUGGGGAUCGGCGGAAGCCCCCUGCGGGCACAACGCCGUCCCCCAAAUACAGUGGCGGUCCCGCCGCAGCUUCCAUUGCGUAGUAGCUAACACCUCGCAACUGGAGAGCGGCGCGGCCACGCCGUAUAACACCCAACUUCUGAAUGUUGACCUCGAAUCAGGUAGGAAUACCCGCUGAACUUAAGC
This 320-nucleotide unclassified non-coding RNA is filed under the name plant metagenome. Its description in RNAcentral is "partial contains 5.8S ribosomal RNA, internal transcribed spacer 2, and large subunit ribosomal RNA". The stretch from base 1 to 105 matches the Rfam family "5.8S ribosomal RNA", at positions 50 to 154 of the family's 154-position model. The record is from RNAcentral.